CCCCUGGCAAUUUUGCAUCCCCAAUGUCUUGAGAUCAUGUUGACCAAGUUUGGUGGCAAUCGGGUAAAAAACCUAUGACAAGUAUAUCAAAUUCCAGAGCAUGCACUUUUUACAUAGCUCUAAAUAGCUGACUUCCUGUUGGGCGGAGCCUAUGACAUGCAAUACGAAAGUUGUUCGGCACAAUGAGAUCUAUAUGUGUACUGAGUUUCAUAUGAAUACGUGCAAGUAUGUUUGAACUAUACAUCAACAUUUCUGACUGUGUUCCAGGAGCCCCUGUGCCACGCCCGUGUAUCAGUCUCUGCCCGGCCCUAAUGGCCGCAGGUUCCAAUGUGUGUGCCAAUUUUCAAGAGUUUUCGAGUAUGUUAAGGGCCCCAAAAGCCCCCGAGACGUUGGAAAAUAAUAAUAAUAAUAAUAAUAAUAAUAAUAAUAAUAAAAAAUAAUCCUAAGGAAAACAAUAGGGCUCUCGCCCUCCAGGCUUGAGCCCUAAAUAUAGCUGCAAGCAGCGAUGGCGGGCUCAAGCCAUCAG
Cyprinus carpio carpio is the source of this 526-nucleotide long non-coding RNA. The record is from Ensembl. Lineage: Eukaryota; Metazoa; Chordata; Actinopteri; Cypriniformes; Cyprinidae.